CAGUGCAGUCACCCAUAAAGUAGAAAGCACUACUAACAGCACUGGAGGGUGUAGUGUUUCCUACUUUAUGGAUGAGUGUACUGU
Molecule: microRNA precursor, 84 nt
Organism: Sus scrofa (pig)
Lineage: Eukaryota; Metazoa; Chordata; Mammalia; Artiodactyla; Suidae
Rfam family: mir-142 microRNA precursor family
Source: Rfam